Molecule: ribosomal RNA, 475 nt
Filed under: uncultured bacterium
Lineage: Bacteria
Description: partial 16S ribosomal RNA
Rfam family: Bacterial small subunit ribosomal RNA
Source: RNAcentral
UAGGGAAUCUUCCACAAUGGACGCAAGUCUGAUGGAGCAACGCCGCGUGAGUGAAGAAGGUUUUCGGACCGUAAAGCUCUGUUGUUGGUGAAGAAGGAUAGAGGUAGUAACUGGCCUUUAUUUGACGGUAAUCAACCAGAAAGUCACGGCUAACUACGUGCCAGCAGCCGCGGUAAUACGUAGGUGGCAAGCGUUGUCCGGAUUUAUUGGGCGUAAAGCGAGCGCAGGCGGAAGAAUAAGUCUGAUGUGAAAGCCCUCGGCUUAACCGAGGAAUUGCAUCGGAAACUGUUUUUCUUGAGUGCAGAAGAGGAGAGUAGAACUCCAUGUGUAGCGGUGGAAUGCGUAGAUAUAUGGAAGAAUACCAGUGGCGAAGGCGGCUCUCUGGUCUGCAACUGACGCUGAGGCUCGAAAGCAUGGGUAGCGAACAGGAUUAGAUACCCUGGUAGUCCAUGCCGUAAAACGAUGAGUGCUAAGU